GUACUGCUUAAGAGUCCCAAACUAGGACGAAACAGUUGUUCAGUAC
This is a non-coding RNA of Trichobilharzia regenti, 46 nucleotides long. The record is from Rfam. Lineage: Eukaryota; Metazoa; Platyhelminthes; Trematoda; Strigeidida; Schistosomatidae.